Molecule: ribosomal RNA, 293 nt
Filed under: uncultured bacterium
Lineage: Bacteria
Description: partial 16S ribosomal RNA
Source: RNAcentral
GGACUACUGGGGUUUCUAAUCCUGUUUGCUCCCCUAGCUCUCGCGCCUCAGCGUCUGUAUCAGCCCAGAAAACCGUCUUCACCACCGGUGUUCUUCCACAUAUCUACGCAUUUCACCGCUACACGUGGAAUUCCGUUUUCCCUAACUGUACUCUCAGCCAAAAAGUUUCAAAUGCAGUCUUGGAGUUGAGCUCCAAAAUUUCACAUCUGACUUCCCCGGCCGCCUACGCGCCCUUUACGCCCAGUAAUUCCGAUCAAUGCUUGCACCCUCCGUAUUACCGCGGCUGCUGGCAC